Molecule: long non-coding RNA, 406 nt
Organism: Pantherophis guttatus
Lineage: Eukaryota; Metazoa; Chordata; Lepidosauria; Squamata; Colubridae
Source: RefSeq, a predicted model, not a curated record
AGUAAAAUUUGGUCCAGAACCAAAGCCAGCAUGAAGAUCCUUUAUCUGCUGUUCACAUUUCUUUUCCUUGCAUUCCUGUCUCAACCAGGGAAUGCCGGCCCCCGCUGUCGUCGGCUAAGAGGAGUGUGUGUUCGGUUUAUGAGAUCUGGGGUUUCCUGUUACGGGCAAGUGGAUUGUCCAAAAGGAUAUUGGUGCUGCCAUAGCUGGGGUAGAAAAUAAUGCCAUCUCCAUCUACCACCCGGAACGUCUUCAAGAUAUGGCCAAUGAUCUGAGAUUACCGCCUGCUAUCGCUUUAUCUUUCUUUACAUGAAUCAAAUUGCUAUCUAUCAAACUCAAAAACAUUUAUGCAUUAAAAUAAAAAUUGGCAAAUAUUCCUUGAAAUAAAGCUAAAUGAGCAUUGCAGAAA